CCUACGGGUGGCAGCAGUGGGGAAUAUUGCACAAUGGGGGAAACCCUGAUGCAGCAACGCCGCGUGAGUGAAGAAGUAUUUCGGUAUGUAAAGCUCUAUCAGCAGGGAAGAGAAUGACGGUACCUGACUAAGAAGCCACGGCUAAAUACGUGCCAGCAGCCGCAGUAAUACGUAGUGGGCAAGCGUUAUCCGGAUAUACUGGGUGUAAAGGGAGCGUAGAUGGCUGUACAAGUGUGAAGUGAAAGCCCGUGGCUCAAUCGCGGAACUGCUUUGGAAACUGUAAAACUGGAGUACUAGAGAGGCAGGCGGAAUUCCUAGUGAAGCGGUGAAAUGCGGAGAUAUUAGGAAGAACACCAGGGGCGAAGGCGGCCUGCUGGACAGAAACUGACGUUGAGGCUCGAAAGCGUGGGGAGCAAACAGGAUUAGAUACCCCAGUAGUC
This 440-nucleotide ribosomal RNA is filed under the name uncultured bacterium. Its description in RNAcentral is "partial 16S ribosomal RNA". It matches the Rfam family "Bacterial small subunit ribosomal RNA", at positions 338 to 795 of the family's 1533-position model. The record is from RNAcentral.